RNAcentral lists this ribosomal RNA (477 nucleotides) under uncultured bacterium. RNAcentral's name for it is "partial 16S ribosomal RNA". It matches the Rfam family "Bacterial small subunit ribosomal RNA", at positions 28 to 506 of the family's 1533-position model. The record is from RNAcentral.
GAUGAACGCUGGCGGCGUGCUUAACACAUGCAAGUCGAACGGGAAACCUUUUAUUGAAGCUUCGGCAGAUUUAGCUGGUUUCUAGUGGCGGACGGGUGAGUAACGCGUGGGUAACCUGCCUUAUACAGGGGGAUAACAGUCAGAAAUGGCUGCUAAUACCGCAUAAGCGCACAGAGCUGCAUGGCUCAGUGUGAAAAACUCCGGUGGUAUAAGAUGGACCCGCGUUGGAUUAGCUGGUUGGUGGGGUAACGGCCCACCAAGGCGACGAUCCAUAGCCGGCCUGAGAGGGUGAACGGCCACAUUGGGACUGAGACACGGCCCAGACUCCUACGGGAGGCAGCAGUGGGGAAUAUUGCACAAUGGGGGAAACCCUGAUGCAGCGACGCCGCGUGAAGGAAGAAGUAUCUCGGUAUGUAAACUUCUAUCAGCAGGGAAGAUAAUGACGGUACCUGACUAAGAAACCCCGGCUAACUACGU